AUCUUGAAUCUUCUAUUCAAGAUCACCAGAUUGUACCUCCCUCUUCAUCCUCGGAAUGCCUUCCGCUCUCAUGAAGAUCUUGCAUCCCACUACCAUAGGAUUUUAGGUAGCCCCACAAGAUUCACCGCACCAUCUCCAGACUCUGAACUGGUCAAGUCCGUACCUCCCUGAAGAAACGCUUGCUUCCAACUAUCAUCGGAAUUUUAGAUAGCUCAACAAGCUCCACCAUCCCUCGUCAGCCCCCGGACUGUGCCUUUUUCGUCCUCCUGAAGAAUCGCUUGCCUCCGACUAUCCAUGGGAUUUUGCGAUAGCCCUACAAGCCUUCACCACUCUUCGACCCCGGAAUGCCUUCCGUACUCUCGAAGUUUUGCUUGGC
RNAcentral lists this long non-coding RNA (376 nucleotides) under Trifolium pratense (red clover). RNAcentral's name for it is "long non-coding RNA (TPRA_LNC005237)". The record is from RNAcentral. Lineage: Eukaryota; Viridiplantae; Streptophyta; Magnoliopsida; Fabales; Fabaceae.